This 108-nucleotide ribosomal RNA is filed under the name Carlito syrichta (Philippine tarsier). The record is from RNAcentral. Lineage: Eukaryota; Metazoa; Chordata; Mammalia; Primates; Tarsiidae.
GAUUACGGUCAUACCACCCUGAACAUGUUUCAUUUCGUCUGAUCUCAGAAGCUGAGUAGGGUUAGGCCUGGUUAGUACUUGGUCGAGAAAAAGCCCAGAAACAGACCC